UUCCAGGAAAAUUUAGGCAUGGUUUUUCUGUUGGUGAAAGUAAUACUAGGAGAGAUCAUUUGCCUUGUGUUUCUGAUAAGAAGAGUACAGUCAGAAGUUCCUUAAAGUAUGGAGAGCCUUCUCAUGAUCUUAUCAUUUUGGCAACAACAGUGUUUUCCUGUGUCUCUACAUCUAAGCAGAAUAUUCUACCUGACAAGGAAAUACUUUUUGAUGUCCUAAUGUUUUUGUGGCAGAAGUGUAAAACAGGACUUCAGUUAAUCCAGAUGAAUGGAAGUGGCUACUUUAAAUAUGACCACAAAUACAAAGCUUCCAAAUGGCUUUAUGUACUCUGGAUAAUAAAUGAAGUAAUUCUGCAAAGUAAUGUAGCAGACACUGAUGUUGUAACGGUAGCAGAGAUAACCUUAUGUCUAACUGCAGUACUGGAAAAUAUGGCUGAUUCUGCG
This 443-nucleotide long non-coding RNA is filed under the name Chrysolophus pictus (golden pheasant). RNAcentral's name for it is "lncRNA (ENSCPIG00010012148.1)". Lineage: Eukaryota; Metazoa; Chordata; Aves; Galliformes; Phasianidae. The record is from RNAcentral.